AUGGCCACAGGCCAUCGUAGUAGCUCCAAUUGGGUUUUAAUACCGGCUCACUGCAAGAAGAUCCUGAACCCAAGAAUCCAGCCCCAGGGUGUCUCUACGGGCCGGCAAAAGGAGCAGGCGGGCGCGCCCCCCACCAAAGCCGACGAUCUAUUUUCAGCAAACAAUUUGAUUGGCAGAAUCCAGGUGAGGUGCAUUCACUUUGCAAAUGUCAGCAGGACACAGUAGCUCCGCAUACUCUCAGGAGUCUUCUGUGACCUUUGACCAAUACCUGCGGUGUCCUAUGGACGGAGAGACAGCCUCCUCACUGUGGGAGAGAAGCCAGGGCCUCGAGAGGCGAGGGCAGCGGCCCAAAGUCACACAGCCGGUUAAUGCCAAAGGCUUGACUUGGUAACCAGGUCUCUUGACUCCAAACUCUAUGCUCUUUCUAACAGUUCUGCGGACUCCUGCAAUUUCUCUAAAUUAGCUGACUGUGUAUCAGAAUCUUGUCAUUCAUAGGGGUUCAUGUUUGUCAAAGCUCAUUGAAUUGUACAUUUAAAAUCUGUACAGUAAAAAGAAAAAAGGAAAAAUCUGUACAGGAUAUUGUUGUAAAUUUAACACAAUUAAAAAAGAGAGAAAAUGGUAUGGCAGGGUCCCAUUUCAUGAGGGGGGACAGUGUCUAAGGUCAGCAUUUAUGACAAAAAUAAUAUAUAAUAUAACAGGCUCAAGAAAAGCCUUAGGAAGGUAUUAAUAGCACAUAGGAGUCAGCACGGUUUCUUUGGGCAUUUUAACAACCGACUGUUCAGAGGGUUCAGGUUAGAUGCUGGCCGGCAUGUAGGGGUUGGGGUGUGAGAAAAAAAGAAUAUGUCUCUACAAUAGGGUGAUAUUCAAUGUGGUGAGAUGCAUAUGUGGGAACCACGUCUGCCAAGGGAAUGGCAGCUUAUAGUAUCUCACCUUAGAUACACACACAUACACACACGCGCGCACACACACACACACAAACAGGCAGACCCCCUCUGAGCAGCUUCCUGGAGCAGGUUAACCAAGGGUGGAAGCCAGAGACAAGGAUCUGAGGGCUCCCGGGGCCCACCAGCAUGAGAGUGAAGUAGGGGAUAUUUCAGGGCCUGGCUGGGGAGGGCUGAGGGGAAGGGGUUGGAACAGGUUGGGAAGUUGAAACAAUGGAGAACACCUCAUUUAAGAGGAGAGGGCAGGGGUGGGAACCAGAAAAGGAGGAGGAGAUUAAAGGCUUGGAGGAGAUCAAAGAGACAGACAGUGGGAAGUAGCUUGGUUUUUGAGAAGAAGAAAACAAGUACCAAGGGCUGACCUGCUGCAACAUUACAGAACUAGUAAUUGUCCUUUGAUAAGUAAACAUCCUAAAAUUUGGAGUGAUGGGAAGCUCACCCACAAAGCAGAGUAUGUCUGAUGAGAGUUUAUAAGUUUCAGAAAGGUAGUUAGUUAUUUAUACAUAAAAAAGAAGAUUCCACAUUUCUUGGAAUCAAAAUUUGCUCUUUUGAGAAUUUUAAAGAGUCUGCCUAGAAUUGUGUUAAAAUAAUACAUAUGUUCACCUUGUACCCUUUAGGAUGGCUACUAUUGACAAAGAAAAAGAAAAUAAAUGUUGGAGUGGAUGUGGAGAAAUCGGAACCCUUGUACACUAUGGAUGAGAAUAUAUGGAUGAGAAUGUAAAGUAGUGCAGCUAUUAUACUAUGGAAAACAGUAUGUAGCUUCUUCAAAAAAUUAAAAAUAUAUCUAUUAUAUGAUCCAGCAAUUCCACUUUUGGGUAUAUAUCCAAAGCAAUGGAAAGUAGGAUCUUGAAGAGCUAUUUGCAUAUCCAUAUUCAUAGCAGCGUUAUUUGUAACAGCCAAGAGGUAGAAACAACCCCAAAAUCAACCAGUGAAGAAAAGGAUAACAAAUAUGGUUCAUACAAACAUACAAUGGAAUAUUAUCAAGCCUUAAAAUGGAAGGAAACUCUGCCACAUGCUACAACAUGAAUGCAACUUGAGGACAUUAUGCUAAAUGAAAUAAGCCAGUCAGAAAACAACAGAGGAUGGGGAAUACAUGUAAAUCCAUGGCUGAUUCAUGUCAAUGUAUGACAAAACCCACUACAAUAUUGUAAAGUAAUUAGCCUCCAACUAACAAAAAUAAAUGAAAAAAAAAAGAAAAGAAAACAACAGAUACGCUAUGAUUCCACUUAUGUGGGGCAGCUAAAACAGUCAAACCC
Cervus hanglu yarkandensis (Yarkand deer) is the source of this 2194-nucleotide long non-coding RNA. The record is from Ensembl. NCBI's taxonomy places the organism in Eukaryota, Metazoa, Chordata, Mammalia, Artiodactyla, Cervidae.